This is a long non-coding RNA of Oryctolagus cuniculus (rabbit), 1840 nucleotides long. RefSeq lists it as uncharacterized. Lineage: Eukaryota; Metazoa; Chordata; Mammalia; Lagomorpha; Leporidae. The record is from RefSeq and is a predicted model, not a curated record.
CCCUGUGCCUUCAAACAGAUAAGUAAACCUUAGAAAAGGUUUCUCUGUGCAGUGCGCGUCCUGUUUCUGGCGCCGCUAGAUGGCAGCAACGGAUCACGGCGAACUGCGCCCCUCAUCUCCCCCGCCCUUCCCGCUUGAAAAAAAUAAGCGGAGCAGUUUCAACCCAGAAAAGAGGCUGCUUCCGUUACACUGGGUCUGGGCGGGGGAGCAGGCCAGCCUGGAGGAGAGGCAGCCUCCCACAGGAUUCCAGAUGCAAACUCACCUGCAGAGGAAGCCCUCUGCUUUCCUGCUGGGCCCGCUCAGAGGGUGGUGCCUGGGCACCGCUGCAGCUGGCACUUCUCCCCUCAGUAGGCUCCUGUCAUUUGCCUUCCCAGUUUAUCUGGAGUUUCAGGGACCUGCACCGCCAGAGUACUCCUUGAAGCUACCCGCAUUCCACUGUCAAGCAAGGGGCCAGAUGUGGCUGAACCCAGGAAGCCAGUCUUCGCUGCACUGCUUUCUCCCAGCGGUAACUACGACCUAGAUCGUGUGAUUAUUUCGUGAGGUUUUGCUGGGUCAAGGUGCAUUGGAAAGAUACUGCUCCAUUUGGCCUAGGUGCUUGAGCAUCUGUUUAAACUCAGCACCACGGGCGGGAGAGCUUUGGUGAGAGACCUGCUCGAGGCACCACUGCCACCUAGUGGCCAGAGAAACCGAGAGCCUCCACCAAGAAAACCCAGAUCUUCCCCCAAGGCACCAAGGAAGAUGGAUAAAAGAGAACCUAGACAUACUACAAAGCAGUUACAAUCAAAUCAGUCUGGUACUGGUACAAAAACAGAUGGGUAGAACAAUGUAACAGAAUAGAAACACCAGAAAUCAAUCUAAACAUCUAUAACCAACUUAUAUUUGACCACUGACCUGAAACCAAUCUCUGGAGCAAGGACAGUCUAUUCAACAAAUGGUGCUGGGAAAACUGCACAUCCACAUGCAGGAGUAUAAAGCAAGACCCUUACCUAACACGUUACACAAAAUCCACUCAGCAUGAUUCAACACCAUCAAAUUAAUUGAGAACACUGGGGAAACCCUGUAAGACAUUGGCACAACCAAGGAGUUCUUGGAAAAGACACCAGAGGCACAGGCAGCCAAUGCGAGAAUUAACAACUGGGAUUACAUGAAAUUGAGAAGUUUCUGUAUGGCAAUAGAAACACUCGGGAAAGUGAAGAGGCCACCGACAGAAUGGGAGAAAUUAUUUGCAAAUUAUGCAAUUGAUAAAGGAUUAAUAACCAGAAUCUACAAAGAGAUCAAGAAACUCUACAACAAGAAAACAAACAACCCAGUAAGAGUUUGGCCAUGGACUUAAACAGACAUUUCUGAAAAGAAGAAAUGCAAAUGGUGACAGACACACAUGAAAAAAUAUUCAGAAUCACUAGUUGUCAGGAAAAUGGAAAUCAAAACCACAAUGAGGUUUCACCUCACCCCAGUUAGAAUGGCUUUCAUAUAGAAGUCAACAAAUAACAACUGCUGGCAAGGAUUUAGGGAGAAAGAUACCCCAAUCCACUGUUGGUGGGAAUGUAAACUGGUAAAGCCACUAUGGAAGACUGUGUAGAGAUACCUGGAAAAUCUAAAUAUAGACCGACGAUAUGACCUAUGACCGAGCCAUCCCACUCCUGGGAAUUUACCCAAGGGAAAUAAAAUCAGUGAACAAAAGAGUUAUCUGCACCUCCAUGUUUAUUGCAGCUAAGUUCACAAGAGCUAAGACAUGGAAUCAACCUAAAUGCCCAUCAACCAAAGAAUGGAUAAAGAAAUUAUGGGUUAUGUACACUAGAGAACAGUACACAGCAGUUAAAAAAAAAAAAAAAAAAGGAAA